Molecule: non-coding RNA, 251 nt
Organism: Babesia microti strain RI
Lineage: Eukaryota; Apicomplexa; Aconoidasida; Piroplasmida; Babesiidae
Source: the annotation of a RefSeq genome assembly
UGAUAUUGCAUUCAAUUGGAAUUGUAUUCUAAGAAGCGUCUGUUUAUACAAACACAAGAUACUGCUAACAUAGAUAUCUAUGUAUAGUCUCUGGUAUCUGUUCAGUGGUAUGUAACCAAACAACGAUUGUAAGAUCACAAUGUACCUAUUAGAUGAAUAAUUAUCAUCUAAUGCAACGAUAGCACGACUUCUUCAUUGUCUCUACUAUGUAGUCUACGAAAUAGAACUAGUCUUGAAUAUGAGGCUACAUG